RNAcentral lists this ribosomal RNA (235 nucleotides) under uncultured bacterium. RNAcentral's name for it is "partial 16S ribosomal RNA". It matches the Rfam family "Bacterial small subunit ribosomal RNA", at positions 99 to 334 of the family's 1533-position model. The record is from RNAcentral.
CGCACGGGUGCGUAACACGUAUGUAACCUACCUUUAACUGGGGCAUAGCUUCGAGAAAUCGAAAUUAAUACCCCAUAACAUUUAGAAAAGGCAUCUUUUCUUUAUCAAAGCUCAGGCGGUUAAGGAUGGACAUGCGGUGCAUUAGCUUGUUGGUGAGGUAACGGCUCACCAAGGCUACGAUGCAUAGGGGGUCUGAGAGGAUGAUCCCCCACACUGGUACUGAGACACGGACCAG